Molecule: ribosomal RNA, 549 nt
Filed under: uncultured bacterium
Lineage: Bacteria
Description: bacterial SSU rRNA
Rfam family: Bacterial small subunit ribosomal RNA
Source: RNAcentral
UAGGGAAUCUUCGGCAAUGGACGAAAGUCUGACCGAGCAACGCCGCGUGAGUGAAGAAGGUUUUCGGAUCGUAAAGCUCUGUUGUAAGUCAAGAACGUGUGUGAGAGUGGAAAGUUCACACAGUGACGGUAGCUUACCAGAAAGGGACGGCUAACUACGUGCCAGCAGCCGCGGUAAUACGUAGGUCCCGAGCGUUGUCCGGAUUUAUUGGGCGUAAAGGGAGCGCAGGCGGUCAGGAAAGUCUGGAGUAAAAGGCUAUGGCUCAACCAUAGUGUGCUCUGGAAACUGUCUGACUUGAGUGCAGAAGGGGAGAGUGGAAUUCCAUGUGUAGCGGUGAAAUGCGUAGAUAUAUGGAGGAACACCAGUGGCGAAAGCGGCUCUCUGGUCUGUCACUGACGCUGAGGCUCGAAAGCGUGGGUAGCGAACAGGAUUAGAUACCCUGGUAGUCCACGCCGUAAACGAUGAGUGCUAGGUGUUAGGCCCUUUCCGGGGCUUAGUGCCGGAGCUAACGCAAUAAGCACUCCGCCUGGGGAGUACGACCGCAAGGUU